Molecule: unclassified non-coding RNA, 377 nt
Filed under: uncultured Gammaproteobacteria bacterium
Lineage: Bacteria; Pseudomonadati; Pseudomonadota; Gammaproteobacteria
Description: contains 16S-23S intergenic spacer region
Source: RNAcentral
UCCGGUUCCUCACCAGCAGUCUCCUUAGAGUCCCCAACUUCACUCGAUGGUAACUAAGGACAAGGGUUGCGCUCGUUACGGGACUUAACCCAACAUCUCACAACACGAGCUGACGACAGCCAUGCAGCACCUGUCUCUGCGUUCCUUUCGGCACAGCAACUUCUCAGUCGCCUUCUCAGGAUGUCAAGAGUAGGUAAGGUUCUUCGCGUUGCAUCGAAUUAAACCACAUGCUCCACCGCUUGUGCGGGCCCCCGUCAAUUCCUUUGAGUUUCAACCUUGCGGCCGUACUUCCCAGGCGGAAGACUUAUCGCGUUAGCUUCGAUACUAUUAGGUCUCCCCAACAACAUCUAGUCCUCAUCGUUUACAGCGUGGACUAC